CGCGUAGGCGGCCAAUUAAGUCAAAUGUGAAAUCCCCGAGCUUAACUUGGGAAUUGCAUUCGAUACUGGUUGGCUAGAGUGUGGGAGAGGAUGGUAGAAUUCCAGGUGUAGCGGUGAAAUGCGUAGAGAUCUGGAGGAAUACCAAUUGCGAAGGCAAGGUACUACCAACAGAUUGACGCUGAUGGACGAAAGCGUGGGGAGCAAACAGGAUUAGAUACCCCUGUA
Molecule: ribosomal RNA, 225 nt
Filed under: uncultured Acinetobacter sp.
Lineage: Bacteria; Pseudomonadati; Pseudomonadota; Gammaproteobacteria; Moraxellales; Moraxellaceae
Description: partial 16S ribosomal RNA
Rfam family: Bacterial small subunit ribosomal RNA
Source: RNAcentral